GAGUUUGAUCCUGGCUCAGGACGAACGCUGGCGGCGUGCCUAACACAUGCAAGUCGAGCGAUGAAGUUCCUUCGGGAACGGAUUAGCGGCGGACGGGUGAGUAACACGUGGGUAACCUGCCUCAAAGAGGGGGAUAGCCUCCCGAAAGGGAGAUUAAUACCGCAUAACAUUAUUUUCUCGCAUGAGAAGAUAAUCAAAGGAGCAAUCCGCUUUGAGAUGGACCCGCGGCGCAUUAGCUAGUUGGUGAGGUAAAGGCUCACCAAGGCGACGAUGCGUAGCCGACCUAAGAGGGUGAUCGGCCACAUUGGAACUGAGACACGGUCCAGACUCCUACGGGAGGCAGCAGUGGGGAAUAUUGCGCAAUGGGGGAAACCCUGACGCAGCAACGCCGCGUGAGUGAUGAAGGUCUUCGGAUUGUAAAGCUCUGUCUUUGGGGACGAUAAUGACGGUACCCAAGGAGGAAGCCACGGCUAACUACGUGCCAGCAGCCGCGGUAAUACGUAGGUGGCAAGCGUUGUCCGGAUUUACUGGGCGUAAAGAGUAUGUAGGCGGAUAUUUAAGUCAGAUGUGAAAUUCCCGGGCUUAACCUGGGCGCUGCAUUUGAAACUGGGUAUCUAGAGUGCGGGAGAGGAAAGUGGAAUUCCUAGUGUAGCGGUGAAAUGCGUAGAGAUUAGGAAGAACACCAGUGGCGAAGGCGACUUUCUGGACCGUAACUGACGCUGAGAUACGAAAGCGUGGGGAGCAAACAGGAUUAGAUACCCUGGUAGUCCACGCCGUANACGAUGAAUACUAGGUGUCGGGGGGUACCACCCUCGGUGCCGUAGCAAACGCAAUAAGUAUUCCGCCUGGGGAGUACGGUCGCAAGNUUAAAACUCAAAGGAAUUGACGG
RNAcentral lists this ribosomal RNA (889 nucleotides) under bacterium enrichment culture clone CH417. Its description in RNAcentral is "bacterial SSU rRNA". It matches the Rfam family "Bacterial small subunit ribosomal RNA", at positions 9 to 916 of the family's 1533-position model. The record is from RNAcentral.